This 34-nucleotide ribosomal RNA is filed under the name Vorticella gracilis. RNAcentral's name for it is "partial 28S ribosomal RNA". The record is from RNAcentral. Lineage: Eukaryota; Ciliophora; Oligohymenophorea; Sessilida; Vorticellidae.
ACCUGAAGGAAGCAAGGCUACCCGCUGAACUUAA